RNAcentral lists this ribosomal RNA (691 nucleotides) under uncultured Gilliamella sp. Its description in RNAcentral is "bacterial SSU rRNA". It matches the Rfam family "Bacterial small subunit ribosomal RNA", at positions 662 to 1357 of the family's 1533-position model. The record is from RNAcentral. Lineage: Bacteria; Pseudomonadati; Pseudomonadota; Gammaproteobacteria; Orbales; Orbaceae.
UAGAAUUCCACGUGUAGCGGUGAAAUGCGUAGAGAUGUGGAGGAAUACCGGUGGCGAAGGCGGCCUUCUGGACAGAUACUGACGCUGAGAUGCGAAAGCGUGGGGAGCAAACAGGAUUAGAUACCCUGGUAGUCCACGCUGUAAACGAUGUCGAUUUGGAGUUUGUUGCCUAGAGUGAUGGGCUCCGAAGCUAACGCGAUAAAUCGACCGCCUGGGGAGUACGGCCGCAAGGUUAAAACUCAAAUGAAUUGACGGGGGCCCGGGGACGGGGACAUGUGGUUUAAUUCGAUGCAACGCGAAUAACCUUACCUGGUCUUGACAUCCACAGAAUCUUGCAGAGAUGCGAGAGUGCCUUCGGGAACUGUGAGACAGGUGCUGCAUGGCUGUCGUCAGCUCGUGUUGUGAAAUGUUGGGUUAAGUCCCGCAACGAGCGCAACCCUUAUCCUUUGUUGCCAGCGAUUCGGUCGGGAACUCAAAAGAGACUGCCGUUGAUAAAGCGGAGGAAGGUGGGGACGACGUCAAGUCAUCAUGGCCCUUACGACCAGGGCUACACACGUGCUACAAUGGCGUAUACAAAGGGAGGCGACCUCGCGAGAGCAAGCGGACCUCAUAAAGUACGUCUAAGUCCGGAUCGGAGUCUGCCACUCGACUCCAUGAAGUCGGAAUCGCUAGUAAUCGUGAAUCAGAAUGU